AGAGGGUGCGAGCGUUAAUCGGAGUUACUGGGCGUAAAGGGCGCGUAGGCGGUUAUAUGAGUGUGAUGUGAAAGCCCUGGGCUUAACCUAGGAAGUGCAUCGCAAACGAUAUAACUGGAGUAUAUGAGAGGGUGGCGGAAUUUCCGGUGUAGCGGUGAAAUGCGUAGAUAUCGGAAGGAACGUCAAUGGCGAAGGCAGCCACCUGGCAUAAUACUGACGCUGAGGCGCGAAAGCGUGGGGAGCGAACAGGAUUAGAUACCCUGGUAGUCCACGCUGUAAACGAUGAGGACUAAAGGUUGGUAGGGGAACCUAUCAGUCUUGAAGCUAACGCGAUAAGUCUUCCGCCUGGGAAGUACGGCCGCAAGG
This 366-nucleotide ribosomal RNA is filed under the name uncultured bacterium. Its description in RNAcentral is "bacterial SSU rRNA". It matches the Rfam family "Bacterial small subunit ribosomal RNA", at positions 527 to 893 of the family's 1533-position model. The record is from RNAcentral.